This 107-nucleotide small nuclear RNA is filed under the name Erinaceus europaeus (western European hedgehog). Lineage: Eukaryota; Metazoa; Chordata; Mammalia; Eulipotyphla; Erinaceidae. The record is from RNAcentral.
UUGCUUGCUUCGGCAGCACAUAUACUAAAAUUGGAACGACACAGAGAAGAUUAGCAUAGCCCCUGCGCAAGGAUGACACACAAAUUCAUGAAGCAUCCCAUAUUUAA